Molecule: unclassified non-coding RNA, 288 nt
Filed under: Pleosporales sp.
Lineage: Eukaryota; Fungi; Ascomycota; Dothideomycetes; Pleosporales
Description: partial contains 5.8S ribosomal RNA, internal transcribed spacer 2, and large subunit ribosomal RNA
Rfam family: 5.8S ribosomal RNA (bases 1-71)
Source: RNAcentral
GUGAGUCAUCGAAUCUUUGAACGCACAUUGCGCCCCUAGGUAUUCCUUGGGGCAUGCCUGUUCGAGCGUCAUUUCAACCCUCAAGCCCAGCUUGGUAUUUGGGUGCUUGUCCUGCCCCCCGCAGCGACUCACCUCAAACUCAUUGGCAGCCCGCAUCCGCCGGCCGUGAGCGCAGCACAAACGCGCUCGAGGCACGGGCGGAUCGGCUCUCCAGAAGCUACCACCCCAUGUUGACCUCGGAUCAGGUAGGGAUACCCGCUGAACUUAAGCAUAUCAAUAAGCGGAGGA